Non-coding RNA from Triticum aestivum (bread wheat), 87 nucleotides. The record is from Rfam. Lineage: Eukaryota; Viridiplantae; Streptophyta; Magnoliopsida; Poales; Poaceae.
GAGAGAAGUGAUGAUAUCAUAACCAUACCACAUUUCUGCAUUCACUGUGAUGAUCAAUUUACAUCAUGCACUACCAUCUGAUCUCCC